Archocentrus centrarchus (flier cichlid) is the source of this 3196-nucleotide RNA transcript. It is a transcript of the gene named aminopeptidase O (putative), with no coding region annotated. The record is from RefSeq and is a predicted model, not a curated record. The transcript is spliced from 18 exons. Lineage: Eukaryota; Metazoa; Chordata; Actinopteri; Cichliformes; Cichlidae.
AUGUGACGACAUCACCGCUCGACUUGUAGAGGACGGAUACAGCUUUGUUGUAGAACAAGCGAGAGCUUGUGAUGUGCGGCGCUAUCUGAUACUCAGCUUUGAUGUCAUUGGUGUAACAUGGACCCAGACGGGGACGUAAACCCUGACACGGAUGACCUUCCGCUCCGAGCGAAUACUAACCACAUACUGGUCAGACAUUAUGUGCUGGACCUGACCGUUCAUUUUGACAGUAGGGUCAUCAGUGGUAGCAUCGUUCUGUUCCUGGAGCCUCGCUCUGGAGUGAGGACUGAGGCUGACGAUGACCUUGCUGGAGAAAGUCAAGAUGGUUUUACAUCUAGAUUUCAGGAUGUGGAUGCUAUGGGGGGUGGUAAGAAAGGACUUGGAAAGACUACGACAAAGGUGGAGAAGAUGAGUGAUAAGACAGAAAGUCAGACUGAAGCUGAGUUCACCUUAGUGUUGGACUGCUGUGAUCUUGACGUGUCAAAGGUUGAAGAAGUGGACGUCACCUCUGUGCCCGCCAUGUUAAGCCACUUCCCAGAGGUCGCAUCUAAAAAGUCAGUGAACCCACAGGCAGCUUUUAUUCAGAACCUUAUCUCCAUGCCCUCCAGCCGGUGGAGGCAGCAGCACCAGCUCUUUUCACUGUGUAGCCGUGCCCCCGGUGCUCCGGAUGGAAGCUCACUGCAGUUCUACAGAGACAGAUGGAGCCUACAGGUGAGGAAAAACGGGGUCACAUCACCUCAGGAGUUCCCUUGUGCUCUCAGGAUCUGGUAUGAGACGAAACCAGCAGGAGGUUCAGUGAGGUGGACCAAAGACCAGGACAACAGGGUGUGUGUUUACACUGCCGGUUCUCCCAUCAACAACCGAGCCCUCUUCCCCUGCCAGGAGCCGCCUGUUGCCAUGUCAACAUGGCAGGCAACAGUACGGGCCCCCAGUGAGUGCGUGGUUUUGAUGAGCGGGGAGGAGCAGGCAGUACCUACUGUGGAUGGGGACACACAUUUCUUAACAUGGAAUUACUAUGUAACAAUGCCCAUGCCCGCCUCCACCUUCACUUUGGCAGUGGGGCACUGGCGACAAGUCACGGCAGAAAUCCCCCCAGCACUGGAAAAAGGGGUGAGGGACAGGACAGACUAUGGCACCACCGCCAAACUUGGGGCCACGUCUGGGCAAUGGACGGAGGCUGAGUGUGUGUCUGGACUUGGAAGUUCCUCUAGUGAAGUAGUAAAGGGCUCUCCUCUCCAGGCUUGCAGCGGAGACCACACUACCUGCGUACACUCUGCAUUCUGUUACUCUUCCCUUGAGGAUGAGGGACUCUCUGUAACUGAUUAUUCAGGCAUGGGGGAUGACGGCAUUUCUUGUUCCCAUGGCGACUACCCUUGCCGAUUUACUGAGCGGUCGGCUUGGUCCCAGCGGGUGAUUCCACACCGUGUAUUUAGCCCUGCCUGCCUGCUGCAAAAGGCCCAGAUGGGAAUCCUUAAGCUGUUGCCUCAGUGUUUGGCAGCAGCCCAUGCUGUUCUGGGGGUGCACCCCUUUCCCCGCCUUGAUGUUCUCAUUGUCCCAGCAGGGUUCUCCAGUCUGGGAAUGGCCAGCCCCCAUAUCAUUUUCCUGUCCCAGAGUGUGUUGUAUGCUGGGAGUCCUGGUUUAAAAGAAAGCAGCCUGUCUCUGUGUGGGUCCAGGAUUUGCCAUGAAAUUGCCCACUCCUGGUUUGGCCUGGUUAUUGGAGCCAGAGACUGGACUGAAGAAUGGAUCAGCGAAGGCUUUGCCACCUGUCUCGAAGACAUUAUCUGGGCCCAAGCACAACAACUCUCUUUAAAGGAGAAAAAAGAGCAGUUUGACCUGAAGGCACUGCUGAGGUGGAGAAGACUUUUCGAUGAGUUGCAAAACUCAAAACAGGAACUUCAGGUCCUCAGACCUAACAUGGAGAAGACUGGUCAGGUCAGUGAGUCUGGCUCCUCCACAGUUAAGCAUGCCCUCAACCCUGAAAAACCCUUCAUGCAAGUCCACUACCUCAAGGGCUACUUCCUCCUCAGGUUCUUGGCCAGUCAAGUUGGAGAGCAACAGUUUAUUGAUUUCUUCCAAUUAUUUGUGAAGAAAUACCACGGGCAUCUCAUUUUGUCUCAGGAUUUCCUGCAAAUGUUACUGAUUAGCUUUCCCGACAUCGAAAGAAAAGGCCUCACCCUCAGUGCUAUUUAUGCUGACUGGCUAGAUCAACCAGGAAUUCCUAAGUGGCUGUAUGAAAGGAGCGCCGUGUGGUCGCAGACAAGGCUGGUGGAAGAAGUCAAAGCAGAGGUUGUAAAAUGGAUUCUCCUCAGUCAGAGUCAUCAUGGGAAGGGCAGAAAGCGGAAGAGAAUGGAGCCCAAGGUGAACUACAAAGAGUUGACGUCGGAGCAGCUAGUGAUGCUUCUGGAACUUCUGUUGGAGGAAUCGGAGAUAAGUAUGGCAUUACUGCGCGCUCUGCAGAGAACCUACAGUCUGCCGAAUCAAGACGCUGAGGUCCGACAUCGCUGGUGCGAGCUUGUGGUCAAACACGCGUACACUCAGGCUUACGGAGAUGUGGAAAACUUUCUGAUUCACGACCAAUUUUUGUGUGUGUGUGUGCACUCCAGGCCAUGGGCGUGUAUCUGUACGGGGAGCUGAUGGUUCACGAGGACCCUGAGCAACAGGCUCUGGCGCGUCGCUGCCUCUCACUAGUCCGGGAAGAAAUGGACCAAUCAGCACGCAGAGUGGUGGAGGAGAUGGUCCUCUAACAGUAGAGGUUGCUGACUACAGACAGGAGGGACAGGAGUUUGGCACAGAGGCCGGACGAGGGUCCAGCACUCACCUGCUCUUUUUGUGGGAUGCUGCAGAAUAGCUCAGCAGUGUGAAAACCAGAGGGCUGCAUUCAUCCUCUGCAACUAAGGCCAACUGGCAAGAUUUAGAGCACAGCAGCUCUGUUCAUUCAAGUCUAAGAAAUAGCUGGUGUGUGCUAGAUAUGUGCACCAUUAGUCAGCUGGGUGAUUUAAUGUUGGUGUCCCCAUCAGCUGAACUAAUUAUCCAUAUUUUAUUAACCCUUUGAGGUGUGAGUUAUCAAAGGUGUUAAACCUAAACCAGAUUUUUGUGUAAAUGGGGAAUAGCGUGUGAUGUGUCAGUUUAUUUUCUUUGUUCCCUGAUUGCCAAAAUGGGGAAUGGCAAUUAAUAAAAACUACAUGCAUUCACUGGA